GACGAACGCUGGCGGCGUGCUUAACACAUGCAAGUCGAACGGAAAGGCCCUGCUUUUGUGGGGUGCUCGAGUGGCGAACGGGUGAGUAACACGUGAGUAACCUGCCCUUAACUUUGGGAUAACUUCAGGAAACUGGGGCUAAUACAGGAUAGGAGCUCCUGAUCCAUGGGGGGGGUUGGAAAGUUUCGGCGGUUGGGGAUGGACUCGCGGCUUAUCAGCUUGUUGGUGGGGUAGUGGCUUACCAGGGCUUUGACGGGUAGCCGGCCUGGGAGGGUGACCGGCAACAUGGGGCCUGAGAUACGGCCCAGACUCCUACGGUAGGCAGCAGUGGGGAAUAUUGCACAACGGGCGGAAGCCUGAUGCAGCAACGCCGCGUGCGGGAUGACGGCCUUCGGGUUGUAAACCGCUUUCGCCUGUGACGAAGCGUGAGUGACGGUAAUGGGUAAAGAAGCACCGGCUAACUACGUG
RNAcentral lists this ribosomal RNA (468 nucleotides) under uncultured bacterium. Its description in RNAcentral is "partial 16S ribosomal RNA". It matches the Rfam family "Bacterial small subunit ribosomal RNA", at positions 28 to 507 of the family's 1533-position model. The record is from RNAcentral.